GGCGCGGUAGCUCAGCUGGUUAGAGCGCAUGAUUCAUAAUCAUGAGGUCUGCGGUUCAAUCCCGCAUCGCGCUACCA
Molecule: transfer RNA, 77 nt
Filed under: Bacteroidales bacterium
Lineage: Bacteria; Pseudomonadati; Bacteroidota; Bacteroidia; Bacteroidales
Description: tRNA-Met
Rfam family: tRNA
About the family: Transfer RNA (tRNA) molecules are approximately 80 nucleotides in length. Their secondary structure includes four short double-helical elements and three loops (D, anti-codon, and T loops). Further hydrogen bonds mediate the characteristic L-shaped molecular structure. tRNAs have two regions of fundamental functional importance: the anti-codon, which is responsible for specific mRNA codon recognition, and the 3' end, to which the tRNAs corresponding amino acid is attached (by aminoacyl-tRNA synthetases). tRNAs cope with the degeneracy of the genetic code in two manners: having more than one tRNA (with a specific anti-codon) for a particular amino acid; and 'wobble' base-pairing, i.e. permitting non-standard base-pairing at the 3rd anti-codon position.
Source: RNAcentral